Long non-coding RNA from Hirundo rustica (Barn swallow), 390 nucleotides. RefSeq lists it as uncharacterized. The transcript has 3 exons. The record is from RefSeq and is a predicted model, not a curated record. Lineage: Eukaryota; Metazoa; Chordata; Aves; Passeriformes; Hirundinidae.
AGCUGGGGGCUGGCAGCUCAUCCACGGCUCCGCUGCCAGGGACACAGUGCCCUCUCUUGGAGAUUCCAAAUCCAGCCCCACGCCGGGAUUGAGGACAAAAAACCGCUGGAAUCCCCUAAAAAAAACCCCGAUUUCUGCCCAAGAAAGAACUCUGGCCUGGCUGGUUAUUCCUCGGAGGAACAGGAGACACCUCUGGAGCUGCUCCUGAGGCAGGAAUGCUCAUCCGCAGGUGGAAUUGGAUUUCUGUUCCCAUGACUGACAACACAACUCCAUCCCGGCCUAUGGCAGCUGCUGCUAUUUUCAGCGCUCUGCCUCUCUCCAGUUAUUAUUCCAAAGCGAAACCAGGAACGAAGGGCUCAGUGAGACGAGCAGGGAAUGCUGAGCUCGGGG